CUGCGAAAGGGCAAAGUGUGGGCAGCUCAAAGUUAGAGAUUAAACACAUAGUGUACAGAUGGACGGGAGCAAAUUUUCCAUAAUCUACAACAAAACGCUGAUCAAGAGUCGCUGGGUUUAAUAGAGGACUGACAGCGCCUGCAGUCACCACCUCUCAUUAACCAGCAGGAGUUAAAGAACCCAAAGCCACAUAAAUCGCUGCGAUAUAAAGUUUCGCAGGGCAGACAGAGGGACAGACAGAGGGGGAUAGAAGCCCUUUCACCGGGAACAUCUGGAACUUUCCAGCCUCUCCAGAUAGAGACACACACCAUUUUGAGGAUAUGAAAGCUGUCACAUCUUUUAUAUGGCGGCACUCUCAUUAAAGACUGGGAGGGCGUGCGCCACGGUAAUUGUUUUAAUUUAUUUGUUUAUGGCAAAGACAGAGGGGGACGGGCACAUGGCACUCAGUUUUUUUUUUUUUUCUUCUUUCUUUUUUUUUAUUGGGAACAUAUGGAACGCAUUUAUCACCAUUUGCAGCGAUCGGCCUAAAUGAUUUUAUUAACUAAUUUGUAACUUUACACUUUUUUAAUCAAACACAUGCUGCGCACCGUAAUGUUUUGAUAAUGCUCCCGGGCUUUGUAAAGGGAGCCGCGGCAGAAGCCAAAGGGAAAUAAAAAGUGAGAGAGAGUGAAACGAAAUGAAAAUGCGGCGAGAGGCGAGGGCUGCCGGGGAUGGGAGAGGCCGCUGCCUCGCAGGCAUUAGAAGGCGGCCUCGGUGAUAUAUGGCGGUGAUGAUGAAGAUUAUUAUGGCGUUCUGCAUCGAGGGGAAGUCGCAAAGGGCUCGAAGGACUUACGAUCCACUCCCACACUCCUCUGACAGACGGAAGAUUCACACCAGGGACUGGCCAUUACAAGUUUUAACAUCUGAGGUUUGGGUUUUCAUUAGUGCACUUGUCUGUGUGUGUUUCCACAUAGCAAAGCAUGCUUCUACUGUAUGCAUAUGCUUAUUAACCUUUUUUUUUUUUAAUCUGACACGGUUGUUACCUAACUGA
Molecule: long non-coding RNA, 1030 nt
Organism: Cyprinus carpio (common carp)
Lineage: Eukaryota; Metazoa; Chordata; Actinopteri; Cypriniformes; Cyprinidae
Source: Ensembl